AAUAGCUGAUUGCACCAACAAAUAGUUGAUGCAAUAUUGACUCUGUCAAAUAAAAUUCUAGGUAGAAUUAUGAUAAUGACAUUGUCUGCCUAUAUGUCUUGACCAAAUUACGUGCCAGCAGUCGCGGUAAUACGUAGAAGACUAGUGUUAUUCAUCUUUAAUAGGUUUAAAGGGUACCUAGACGGUAAAUCAAGCCUUCACAGGGACUAAUUUACUAGAGUUACUUACGAGGGGGUAUUAAAGUACUGCAGGUGUAGAGAUGAAAUUCUGUCAUACCUCUUUUCAAAAGAAAAAUUAUGGCACAGGUAUAGGUGAAAGCAUCCCCUUAUGUGAUAACUGACGUUGAAGGACGAAGGCUUUGUGUCGCGAACAGGAUUAGAUACCCCAGUAGUCAAAGCAGAAAAUGAUGAAUGUCAUAGAUUAGAUAAAUAGUUUAUUCUAUAAAUGAAAAUGUAAGCAUUCCACCUCAAGAGUAAUUUGGCAACAUUGGAACUGAAAUCAUUAGACCGUUUCUGAAACCAGUAGUGAAGUAUGUUGUUUAAUUUGAUGAUCCGCAAAAAACCUUACCACAAUUUGAAUAUUUAUAUAUAUCUUUUUUUUUCGUAAAAAAAUAAAAAGGUAAUAUAUUUACAAGCGUUGCACGGCUGUCUUCAGUUAAUGUCGCGAGACUUUGGUUAGUUCCAUUAAAUUAACGUAAACCCUUACUUUAUUUUCAUAUGAAGUAGUUCCCCGCUAUAUUGGAUAUGAUAACAGGGACUAAGACAAGUCAUCAUGGC
RNAcentral lists this ribosomal RNA (776 nucleotides) under Lepraria humida. RNAcentral's name for it is "SSU rRNA". It matches the Rfam family "Bacterial small subunit ribosomal RNA", at positions 378 to 1199 of the family's 1533-position model. The record is from RNAcentral. Lineage: Eukaryota; Fungi; Ascomycota; Lecanoromycetes; Lecanorales; Stereocaulaceae.